GUGCCAGCAGCCGCGGUAAUACGGAGGAUCCGAGCGUUAUCCGGAUUUACUGGGUUUAAAGGGUGCGUAGGCGGGCGCUUAAGUCAGCGGUGAAAGGCAGCGGCUCAACCGUUGGACUGCCGUUGAAACUGGGCGCCUUGGAUUCGGUCGGGGCCGGCGGAAUGCGUGGUGUAGCGGUGAAAUGCUUAGAUAUCACGCGGAACGCCGAUCGCGAAGGCAGCUGGCCAGGCCGAGAUCGACGCUGAUGCAC
Molecule: ribosomal RNA, 250 nt
Filed under: uncultured bacterium
Lineage: Bacteria
Description: partial 16S ribosomal RNA
Rfam family: Bacterial small subunit ribosomal RNA
Source: RNAcentral